This 398-nucleotide ribosomal RNA is filed under the name uncultured bacterium. RNAcentral describes it as "bacterial SSU rRNA". It matches the Rfam family "Bacterial small subunit ribosomal RNA", at positions 358 to 773 of the family's 1533-position model. The record is from RNAcentral.
GGAAUUUUGGGCAAUGGGCGAAAGCCUGACCCAGCAACGCCGCGUGAAGGAUGAAGUAUUUCGGUAUGUAAACUUCGAAAGAAUGGGAAGAAUAAAUGACGGUACCAUUUAUAAGCUCCGGCUAACUACGUUCCAGCAGCCGCGGUAAUACGUAGGGAGCAAGCGUUGUUCGGAUUUACUGGGCGUAAAGGGUGCGUAGGCGGCGCGUCAAGUCACUUGUGAAAUCUCCGGGCUUAACUCGGAAAGGCCAAGUGAUACUGUCGCGCUAGAGUGCGGAAUGGGCAACUGGAAUUCUUGGUGUAGCGGUGAAAUGCGUAGAUAUCAAGAGGAACACCUGAGGCGAAGGCGAGUUGCUGGGCCGACACUGACGCUGAGGCACGAAAGCCAGGGGAGCGAAC